This is a long non-coding RNA of Corvus hawaiiensis (hawaiian crow), 830 nucleotides long. RefSeq lists it as uncharacterized. The record is from RefSeq and is a predicted model, not a curated record. Lineage: Eukaryota; Metazoa; Chordata; Aves; Passeriformes; Corvidae. The transcript is spliced from 4 exons.
ACAUCACAUGAAAAUAUUAUAUUACACAUCCUGAAAACCAAGCCACUGACCUUGUGAAAUGGCUCAUUUUCUCCUGAAAGAAAAUAUUUAAGAAAAGUUACAGGGGCUACAUGAAAGACAGCUGCCAGCACCAAGUUUCUUAUUUACGAUAACAAGGGGAGACCUUCAUCACAUGCAGAAUCCAGCAGGCUAAUAUGAACAUGCAGUAAAUGUUAGGUUUUGUGUUUUCCUUCCUUUCUCUUCGUUUCUGUCACAGUCUCUCCAGUUCAAUGUAUUUGUCCCUGGCCACUUUCUUUGAGAUGAAACAGUGUCACUCUGGAGUUCUCAGUGUGCUGUGUGUGGACAGAAAGAUGUCAACAGCCAAUAUCUGAGAAUGGCAGCUCUACUUCCCUUGUCACCAGCGUGCCUCAGUUCUCCACUGAGUCACUGGACUUGCAGCUGACAAGCCUGUGAAAGCUGGAAAGGAAACAGAAACAAAACAGAAAGAGAGGCAUUCCUAUCUGCAGUCUGCUUCAGAUGUAAUGAUUAUGAUUAUAAUCAACAAUGACUUUUCACAGUAAAGUAUUUUUGACCACAAUUGGGUUCUACGUGAACUUGCUCUUAUACACAUAAACACUGUUAAUGUGUCACAGGAAAGAUCCAUGAUUUUUCAAACUUUCCAUGCCAGAUGUGUUUGCAACACAGUCCCAACACUAAAAAAUGUUAGGUAUACAAUGAUACUAAAGACCAGUUGACUUCAGAAGAGUUGUUUUGCCUGUGUAAACAAGUUCAUGUUUUUUCUUCUCAAUUAUUCAUUUCAUGCAUGUUCAGAAUAAUUAGGGGCAAAUAAC